This 8806-nucleotide long non-coding RNA is filed under the name Lactuca sativa (garden lettuce). RNAcentral describes it as "long non-coding RNA (LSAT_LNC004481)". Lineage: Eukaryota; Viridiplantae; Streptophyta; Magnoliopsida; Asterales; Asteraceae. The record is from RNAcentral.
AUGAAAAACCUUUAUAUUCGGAGAAAAUCACAAUUUGUAUUCUUUUGUAAAAUAUGUUUGAAAACCUUAGAGAAUCUUUCAUAAACCAGUUUAGAAUGAAUUUAGACAAAACAGUAUAAGUAAGAGUUUUGAAGCAAUUGAAAACCAUUAUAGUGUCCUACUCGGUAAAACAGUGUACAGUGGUAAAAUCUUGUGCAUAUGGGUUAUCAAUCACAUGUGAUUGAUAUGAUUACUGGCAUGUUUAACUUGUAUUCCCCCCCUAUAAAGCAUGUAAAAACAUUUAAAAGGUUCAUUCAGGGGUAUGAACUCACUUGGUGUAAGUAGGUCCGACGAAGGCGCCGUUUGGGGCGUUCGGUGUCACGCAAGGACUCGAACAGACACAAUGACAUAAUUACAAUAUGAUAACAUAUGUUCACAUACAAUUAGUAUAUUUAAUACUAAUCAAACAAUUAUACACGCUCAAAGGAGCGGAAAACACUUUGGAUAAGCGUUUGGGUGUCCCGGGUAGCGUCUAAAGGUGUGUAUGGCUAAGGAACUGAGUUUACCCUCUGAGAGUAAACCCUUAAUACCAUGUUUACGGCCCAGGGACUACUCACCAUGAGUUUAUGGCCGUAAACUCAUGGUGAUGGGUUCUAUGGUGUUUUAGGCUUCUAGCUUGUUCAUGGGAUUUUUCUAAGUACUUUUCCAAAAAGGCAUGAGUGGGUUUAAGGCUUCUAAGGGAAUUAUGUUGGAUUUUACGGCCUAGGAACAUCUCCCAUGGGAGUUUACGGCCAUAAACUCUCAUUCCAUGGAUUUAGUGAAGUUUUAAGCCCUUAUUACCUUCCUAGCAAUUUCUAAUGGAGUGUGAUGCCAUUUUGGGGGAUUAAAACCAUCAUUUGGGUGUGGUUUGGGGAGUUUACGGCCUAGGUACUUUCUUGGGCCAUAAACUCCAAGUCACCCCAUAUUUCCUUGUAUUUAAAUGUUCCAAACCCUAAAUAGCAUGUCCUUAUUUUAUGUCUUAAGCCUAUGGGUGGUUUGGGAGUGUUUGGAACUUGAUUUAACAAGUUUAGAGGGUGUUUACGGCCUAAGCGUGUGCUUGGGCCGUAAAACCUCUUUUACGCCACAAUUCUUGUUGUUUUGGGGUUCAAACACUCCUAGGCUAAGUCUCCUAAUAGUUUCUAAGCUUAAGGAUGAGUUUAAAGGCAUGUUUGGCACCAUAUUAGGGGUUUACGGCCCUAGAGUGUUCCUGGGCCGUAAACUCCUUAUUCCAUGCCUUCUUGGAUGAUAUUUGAGGUGUAAUCACAAGCCAAUAUGUUUUGAACAAGCUAGGGUAAGGAGACUUACGAUUUGGAAGCGUUUGGUGGCGGAUUUGGGGCGAAAAUGGGUCUAGAGAGAGAGUAUAGAGAGAGAGUGUAAAAAGUCUCCAAUGGACUCCACUCACCCUUAUAUAGGGUUUUGAGUCGGAGCUCGGUGGAAUUCUACCCAAUACUGCCGUUAAACGGGGCUUUUGGUCGCACCCGAUUUAGUGGUCGUAAUAAUAAAAACUAACUUUUCCAAUUAAAUGGAAAUGUAUGCUAUGUGUUUUUAUUUCCUUCCAUCACGACUUAACGGCUUAUUAAACAUAAACAAAUAUAAUUUUUAUUUAAUUGACGACCUCCAAUUUACCGGAACUUUUAUAAACCGGAAUAUUCUGUUAACGGUAACGGGGAAAAGUAACGGGACAACUUGGGUUGUCACAUCAUCCCCCCGUUAGAGGGAAUUUGGUCUCGAAAUUCAGGUCUAGGCAAGAAAGUAGGUAUGAAUGGCCAAGUAGAGGUAAAGGAGUACUUCCUAUAUUGUUUGUCCUCGCAUUCCCAAGUGAACUUCAGUCUGUGUUUGUCAUNAGUGAACUUUAGUCUGUGUUUGUCAUUCCAACAGACCCUCACGUACGGGAUGCGGAUUCCGUCUCGUGUAACUAGUGGGUUUCCGACUGGUGUAUCUACGAGGUUAGGGUUCUCAAUGGAUUCUAUCGAUAUGAGUGGGGUACGAAGAGUGAUGUCGGGCAAUCGCAUAUCUAGUCUAAUUAGUGGAUCGAUCAGGUGUGAGUCUUGUGGUAUAUCCGAAGGUAGUAGCGGCCUGAAUAGGGUUGGAAAAAAUCUCCAUGAGAAUUCUCAUAUGGUCCUAAGCUCUUGGAAUGGUAGAGCUUUUCAGUACUCAUAACAUAGUGUACUUCUAUGGCAAGAUCAUCACUGGCGCGAUCGCCAUUCCGAAGUUCCUAACGUUCUCUCCCGUACUGGUAGUGUAGUCCUUCAGGUUGGUCCUUAGGAAACUUGGGUGGUCUUUGGUUUCGUGUUUUCUGUCAACUGGCUGAUAGAGACUUUCUAGAUCGUCGAGUGGGUUGUGUGACUAUGGUUAUCGGUUUGCUGUAGAGUGUCUAUCUCAAGCUUGUGCAAAACGAAUCUACACUAGAGGCUCUUGAGAUGCGGAAACUCUGAGGGUCGGGGAGAUAGAGUUUCACCAGACGAGUGUUGGACUAUCUCGGGAGGUGAUUCUACUAUCUCUGCGUAAGAUGGUAUUCGUGGAACACCUAAUAGUCCAAGGAAUCUCUAAGACUGUGGUUUAUUCUAGCGUGGAAAGUGUAUGUUCCUGCAUAACCCUUCGACUAACACCAGGGCUGGUGUCAAGCCUAUGAUGUCUUCGGGAUCUGGGUCAUGAGACUUAACGCAACUACUUUCGCACUUGACCAAGUAUUCUUGGCUGCGAAGGUUAUCCUGUGGUUCUCGGUAUCCUAGUGUUCACUUCGGAAAGUGUAAUUCAUCGUCUACAGGGCGACGACGAUUUCCUCCUUGCAAGAGGGUGGAGGAUGAUAAGCACCACUUGUUUAUAACUGGGUGGACGAGGUGCAUGAGUAGUGCCAGCAUCUACUACAACUACUCUUCCGAAGGUUCUGAGUUUUUUUCGGUCUAGGUCAAAUCUAGUGGGUAUAGGGUCUCAUCACUAGGAACUUUACUCGCUCAACCCGCCGUGAUUCUCUUGCUUCGGCUCCUAUGUUAUGGAAUAGGGUGAAAGUGUUUUGCGAAGAGGUCCGUGGUAGAGCUCAUGCUUGGCAUAACCGCCAAUACUUGAUGUAUGCCAGCAGUAUACCUGGUUAUAGUGGUCAGCCUCAUGAGUUCUAUUCUCUGGGUUCAGGAACCUGAUGUGCGAGGUGCGAAGGGUCUCCCGGGGGAAUCUACGGAGUAUGCUUAGGUUGGUGGUCAUCUUCUUAAAGUAUCUGUAGUGUCGUUCACUUCGGUGUCCAUCUGACUACGAGGGGUCGGUCAACAGUGCGGGAUACCCUCUCUUGGGUACUUCGGAAGGUUUGAGAUAAGAGGGACGAUUGACGGAUCACAUUAGGUUUGACUAUUUGUGUUAGGUUUAGGUUCGGAAGAACCGUUAUUUGCCGACAAGGCUAUGGAGAAAGUUCUUUUUGGAUAGCACUAAGGACGUACACAUGGUUGCACGAAGUCAAACCAUGAUCAAUAGAGUUGUCGAAGUUGGCACACUCCAACAUGAUGUAACGUGAAGAUCGAUAGAGUCAUGUGCCAAACAGGCACACAAGUUCUAGGCGUCUCGGGUUUCGUCCUAUGUAUCACUACCGCGGAUACUUGGACUGAUAGAGUCGACGUGGUACUAUAGAAAGUCCUAGGUGUUUCCGAAUAGAGUACCUUUUCAUGAAUGGAUUCUCACAAGGCAUUUCUAUAAUCUCCUAACAUAUACUAGUCAUGUAUAUUUAAGGUGGGGAGGACUGUUGACUGAGCGACCCCGCCCUAAUCCACAACCAAACGACGAACAGGAAAUGAGGCGGCAUUCACUCACUCUAGGUCUGUCCAUCUUAAAUAUACAUGGCCGUAACGUAUAUGUUUAGCCAUUAUAGUUUUACCUAAUGAAUUUUAAAUUUUAUAACAGUGUUGUGACUUUCGCCUUACUGGGAAGAAUUUACAUUUGAAUUAGUCUUUUAUUGUUCUUAGUUUAGUUAUCCGAGAUUGAGAGACGUACCAAAAUCUAACGAGUUCCUUGCCGCUUCUCCCUAAGCAGUAGUGUCAGGCUCCUUCUGUGUCUUUGUCUUUCCCUUCGGUUGGGCAGUCCUUCUUGAAGUGUCCCAUUUUACCACAUUUAUGGCAUGGAUUGGUCGUCACUUUGGUGAUUGAUGCAAUACGCUCCACCGGAGUUCUGCAUACGCGAGCAGUAUGACCCUUCAUGUUGCACCUAGCACAUAAGAGUUCCCGGCAGGCACCAUGAUGAUGGUAGCUGCACUUGCUGUAGUGGGGAAGGUCUCCUAGGUAUGGUCUUCUUGAAGUCGGGAAGGAAGGACUGACAGGGGUAUAGACUGCCUCAGUUCGUCGCCUUUCAGAAGGUCCUUGAGUCGAGGUACUUCCCUCCUCAAUCUUUAGUUUUCUCUUUAGUGGGUUCGGUGAAGGUUCUUGGGUAACUGGGUAUGAAAGUGUUGGUUGCUGCUGUCCAUUGGCAGGAUUGGAAAUCCCGACAGGGCCCUUGCUAACAUUUGCGGUGUUAGCAUUCAGGUGAGCCAUGACAGCUGCUACGGCUGCUGAGACUGCAGCUUGGAACGUAGCUUCAUCGAAUAAGAGAGCAGGUUUCUUGCUUGUGGAUUGGUUACGCUUCUUCGGUGGCAUGGUUUUCCUACACGGAAAGGAAUACAAGGUAAUGAGUGACAAUGGUUAACCCUGGAUAUUUCUGUCCUGAACGUAUUAGGCAUAAAUUUUCUCGUGCCUCGGAUGUUGGUUGUCUGAGUGUCGACCUACAUCCCUAUGAUGUAGUCCUGGUAAUCGAAGUGAGUGUAUGAGUAUCGGAAAAAGGCCAUAAGAUGCGAGUUGUUCCUACUAAGUUACCUCUAUACUGGGAAAGGUUUCACUCUCCGGCCUGGAGAGAUUUGAGAACAGUUCGGAACGAACUGCGAAAAGAGAGGCUCACAAGGGCAAUUGACUAAUUUCUCUCAAUAGAGAUGCGGGGAUCCGUCCUAAUUGUGUAAUUGGCAACGAGAGACGACUAUUUACCUAACACAUAGCGUGAGUAGUGUAAUCACUAACUCACUAAAUUGUAUUAUUUUACGAACACGAGGAAAAGACAAUUCUCGGGUUCCAUGUACUGGCUCCCUCGGUCUGCCUCGUAUCUUUGACUGGAGUCGGCGUUGGUUUCCAUCGGGUAGUUUCCUAGGGUUCUCAUCUCGUAUGGACAUAUUGAAUUUCUACUCCGCCUUCCUUCUGAUUCCGACUCUUGGUGUCACCACUUCAUGAUGGAUGACUGGAAUCUCCGAAGUUUAGGCGAAUCUCUCACCACUGUCCCUAAGAGAUAUAGGCACUUGGUGAAUUCAAUAGUCUCGACCCAUUUCAUUUAUUUCUGAAUAGUAAAUCUUCUCAAUGAACUUCUUCGGUGUCGGAAUCAACUCUUCUGUCAAGCACUUAAGUGGUUAGGGUUGUCUACAGGGUUCGUGCGAGAAUGGAAAUGUCUAAAGAAUCCUAAUUGAUUAUUAACAUUUCACUGGAUGAUCCAUAUCGAGUCCUGCUACGAUUACACAGGGUAUACAAAUCAUAUAUAGCUUAGAUCCGAUAGGCCUUCGAAUAUGUGAUACUACUCUAGAACCACAUCCCAAUGAGGAAAAGGAAAUAGGGCAAAACCACACAUUUUUAGCCUAUGGGAUCCUUAUUAUAUAUAACCUUGGGAGUAUACCUUCUGUAGUUGUAGGUAUAUCAAUAAGGAUAUUUUUAGUUAUUCACACAAGGUUGUUUAUGGAUUCUAAAAUACCCCUAUCGUAUUUUAAUUCUUGUUUGAUUCUUAUCUUCUGAAUAUCAUUCUGGAAUUAGUGUGGAUCUUUUAGCGUUCUAAAAUACUCCUACAGUAUUUUAACUUUAUGUUUGGCUCUAGCAUUCCUAGUUGGUAAGUUUCAGACCUGUUGUACACCACUAUCACUCCCAAGCACACGUUCAUCGCAUCUCGGAUAAAUGUAGUUGAUCAGGUUACAUUUAUCCCAGCUUACGAUUACAUAACUGCCCAGGUUUGACUGUAGUGCUCAACAUCCGAAGACUUUUAUUAUUGUUCUUCUUGUGAUACUUUUGUUCGAGUGUUUAGAUUCUGGAUGUUAUUACACUUUGGUAAAAUAUGGUUAUAUUUUAAUGUAUAAUUCUUGGUCAGAGUGUUUUAUCCCAUUGUAUUUAUAGGCUGUAUAUCUUUUAUGAAUUGAUAUACUUAGCUCACUAUAAACAAUGCUCUGAUACCAAUCUGUCACACCCCAAAACCGGAACGGCGGAAACGUUCUGGGGUGGAUGACGUCAUGUCAAGUAUCACAACACAUGCAUUAUAGUAAUCAAAGUACAACAAAACAUUGCAUUAAUAGUAAUAGUUUUACAUGGUUACAUUAAUACAUCAAAGUAAUACAAGUAAUAGAAUAAAUACAACGUGGUACUAAGCUAUCUUCAUCAACAGCUCCUGGGAUGUACCUGUCUAAUGCUAACCUGAGAAUACAAGUUAUUUGAAAAGCGAGUAUCAGCAUUUUUACAAAUGUUGGUGAGUUCAUAAGCAUUUAGUGACGUUUCAUUCAAAUAACUUAAUAAAGUAAUAGUUUAAGAGAUUUCAGUGUAUUAGAGUCCUUUCCAGAAAAUCCUAUAUUUUCUUUAAUAAAAGCAGCCUUCUACCAAGACUGGUCAGUGAUGUGUGGUAAAAAGUAGUUUUCCUUAAGUUACUAUCAUUAUCAAAGUACUGAAUUUGAUUAUUGAGGAAAGCAAACGACAUCAGGGAAUAUCAUAUGCCUUAGCAGUGAGGACUGCUGACUAAGGCAUGGAACCAUAGACUCCAGGAAAGUAACAAACGAACGACACGCCCGGUUCAAUCUAACAAGUAGAGACACAGACCCCAUAAGGUACCAAAUGACAGGUACAACUAGUAAGGUCUAAAACAAUGAAUACAGACCGCAGACAAUAUCAAAUGAAAGAUACGUCUAUCGAGGUCUAAAACAGUGAACACAGUGAAUACAGUGGAUUUUGUGAAUACAGUGGAUACAAACCCCAGACAACAUCUAAUGAAAGAUACGUCUUAUAAGGUCAAAACAGUGUGACUCUGAAAAUGAGUUACCAGCAUACAGUUUAAAUAGCUGGCCAAAUACCGUUACCUUAAAGCCAUGAAUUAUAAGGUAACCCGGGACACUCGUAACCAUACUGACUAGAGUACCAGACGCCCUACAGGCGUCUAAAAUGUGACAUUUGUCACCUAUUGGCUUGGUAGGCUGGGACUGUAGCUAGCAGUCUGGGUGCGGGGUUAUCAAUCCCGUAUAGAUCUAUACACACAAUGUUCGCUCUCCUUAUAGGAGAUUCUGGUUACCAACUAGACGACGGAGAAGGCCGUGUCCUGAAGAUGCAUCCCAAAGAGUGGGUAUAGACUUCCAAAUAGUGGGUAGUGUGUAAGUACUGAACUAGAGGUAGAGACUUCCCAAUAGUGGGUUUCUAAUGUAAGUGUAGACUAGAGGUAGAGGCUCUUAACUGAUCUGACUAGAGAAUUCCUAUAUGUCUAUACUCAUAUACAUAAUAUAUAACUAAUGAGUCAAACGACCUUCGGACGGCUAUCCUAUCCCACCAGAUCACAUCUCAACGAAGAAAAGGAAAUAGGGCAGACGCGCCUUCCUAAGUCUUUCAAUCAUUACUUAUACGUACCUAUAUAAGCACAGACAUACAUCUAACUACGAUUGAGUGCGUAUCAAGUAGAAGUGAUCUUUGUGAAGUAGGAGUGUCUAACAAGUGAAGUAGGAGUGGUCGCAAGUGAAUUAAGAGUGUCGAACAUGUAUAAGCGUAUCACGAAGUAGAGACGACAAUAAGUGAAGUAAGAGCGUAUCGAGUUUAAGUGAAGUAGAGGCGAUAUCAAGUAUAAGUGAAGUAGAAUUGUAUCUCCAAGUAAGAGUAUGAAUAAGUAUAAGCGUCCAUCAGGUAUAAGUGACUACAAGUAUAAGUGAAAGCGUUACAGAGUAGGAGUAUUAAAUAAGUAUAUGUGAAGCAGCAAUAUUUAACAAGUAAAAGUAUACGUCGUAAAAGGGAAACUUUGAUGAAAAACCUUUAUAUUCGGAGAACAUCACAAUUUGUAUUCUUUUGUAAAAUAUGUUUCAAAACCUUACAGAAUCUUUCAUAAACCAGUUUAGAAUGAAUUUAGACAAAACAGUAUAAGUAAGAGUUUUGAAGCAAUUGAAAACCAUUAUAGUGUCUUACUCGGUAAAACAGUGUACAGUGGUAAAAUCUUGUGCAUACGGGUUAUCAAUCACAUGUUAUUGAUAUGAUAACUGGCAUGCUUAACUUGUAUUCCCCCCUAUAAAACAGGUAAAAACAUUUAAAAGGUUCAUUCAGGGGUAUGAGCUCACCUGGUGUAAGUAGGUCCGACGAAGGUGUCGUUUGGGGCGUUCGGUGUCACGCAAGGACUCGAACACACACAAUGACCUAAUUAACAUAUGAUAACAUAUGUUCACAUACAAUAAGUAUAUUUAAUACUAAUCAAACAAUUAUACGCGCUCAAAGGAGCGGAAAACACUUUGGAUAAGCGUUUGGGUGUCCCGGGUAGCGUCUAAAGGUGUAUAUGGCUAAGGAAUGGAGUUUACCCUCCGAGAGUAAACCCUUAAUACCAUGUUUACGCCCCAGGGACUACUCACCAUGAGUUUGCGGCCGUAAACUCAUGGUGAUGGGUUCUAGGGUGUUUUAGGCUUCUAGCUUGUUCAUGGGAUUUUUCUAAGUACUUUUCCAAAAAGGCAUGAGUGGGUUUAAGGCUUCUAAGGGCAUUAUAUGGGAGUUUACGGCCUAGGAACAACUCCUAUGGGAGUUUA